GACGUAGGGCGCGAGCGUUGUCCGGAUUUAUUGGGCGUAAAGAGCUCGUAGGCGGCUUGUCGCGUCGUCUGUGAAAUCCCGCGGCUCAACCGCGGGUCUGCAGUCGAUACGGGCAGGCUAGAGUUCGGUAGGGGAGACUGGAAUUCCUGGUGUAGCGGUGAAAUGCGCAGAUAUCAGGAGGAACACCGGUGGCGAAGGCGGGUCUCUGGGCCGAUACUGACGCUGAGGCGCGAAAGCGUGGGGAGCAAACAGG
This 253-nucleotide ribosomal RNA is filed under the name uncultured bacterium. RNAcentral's name for it is "partial 16S ribosomal RNA". It matches the Rfam family "Bacterial small subunit ribosomal RNA", at positions 524 to 776 of the family's 1533-position model. The record is from RNAcentral.